CCUACGGGGGGCUGCAGUGAGGAAUAUUGGUCAAUGGGCGCGAGCCUGAACCAGCCAAGUCGCGUGAGGGAAGACGGUCCUAUGGAUUUAAACCUCUUUUGUCGGGGAGCAAAAGACGCCACGCGUGGCGUUCCGAGAGUACCCGAAGAAAAAGCAUCGGCUAACUCCGUGCCAGCAGCCGCGGUAAUACGGAGGAUGCGAGCGUUAUCCGGAUUUAUUGGGUGUAAAGGGUGCGCAGGCGGAAGAUCAAGUCAGCGGGAAAAUUGAGAGGCUCAACCUCUUCGAGCCGUUGAAACUGGUUUUCUUGAGUGAGCGAGAAGUAUGCGGAAUGCGUGGUGUAGCGGUGAAAUGCAUAGAUAUCACGCAGAACUCCGAUUGCGAAGGCAGCAUACCGGCGCUCAACUGACGCUCAUGCACGAAAGUGUGGGUAUCGAACAGGAUUAGAUACCCCGGUAGUC
RNAcentral lists this ribosomal RNA (458 nucleotides) under uncultured bacterium. Its description in RNAcentral is "partial 16S ribosomal RNA". It matches the Rfam family "Bacterial small subunit ribosomal RNA", at positions 338 to 795 of the family's 1533-position model. The record is from RNAcentral.